GGUGGAUAGUGUUAUCCCGCUUUCAUACAACCGACCCCUGUUAGUUAUUUACUUAUUUGAUUACUUGUACUAAGUCGAGAAAUAUUCUGUGACACCUUUCUUAUACUACUAACCCUAUAAGAGUGUAAGCCUGGCUAAUUAAAUCUCACCCACCAAAGAAUGUUUGGAAUAUAGUUAAACUUGCAGUAGUCUGCGCACAGAAGACUGUCCCUUCUCCCCGGUGGUGGUAGUCAUCCCAUGAACCAGGGGGGGGGGGAGCGGGAUGCAGUCUGCGAGCAGACUAAACUUGUAGUUGCUCAAAGGAAUUUGUAUUUUUCAGGAUGCGCUUUCUUGUAAAUUUGCCGCAAUCUUUAACUAUCUUUUAAUUCUAAUGAUUUCAGUGACUCUGUUACCCACAUAGUGACGAAAUUUGAAACAAGGGAUAAAGUUUACCAAUAUUUGAAGAGGUAUGUUCUUGUAUAGAAACUGGCAACAGUUACAUGCAUGACUCAUUUGAAGUCAAACUGAUCAAAUGCCCAAGCAUGUAUAAGUGUCGGAAUUUGUUAACUUGGAUUACGAUAAAAAUCCUUUUACACGUCUAAUUGAAUUGUUAGUUUAUUAUAAGUCAAUCUUUAAGGAAAACAGAAAUUUUAACUCAGACAUGCAGUAUAGCAGAAGAAGAAAUUUACAUAAUCUAGAUUUUUUAAAUAAGAAGUAAUGAUUGACCGAUUGUGGAACAAUCUGAAAUUACCGAUUAUUCAUGCCACAACCUACCCGAUGCCGAUUUUAUAAUGACGUCAUAAUAUCAGUCCAUCGAGUAAAGGUGACGUCAUUCAUGUCGAUUUUUAACGAUAAUUUCCAACGUAACAUGUUACUGCACCCAAAGAUCGUUAUUUAAAACCGUUAAUAAAUGGCACGCUUCACGCAUUAGUUCAACUGUUGCGUUAAAACGCAACGUGUGUCAACGUGCAAUGCAUAUAAUUUUUAAAGUGCGUAUUUUCUCAACAAUGUGUUUUAGACAAUCGGAAAUAUAGAUCAUUCUACCGAUUCCGAUUGUCUACCGAUAAGGCAAAAAUUGGCGAUACCGAUUAUCGGUAAAUCACUAAUAAGAAGUUUUAGUUAUGUCUUCACUAGCUAUUAUAUGUAAAAUAUAAAUGCAUGGAAGCACUUAUUAUUUCUUAUAGUUUUUAUGGACCUGUAUACGACUCCAUACAGAUAUUGUAAUUAAAUUAUAGCUCAAGCAUCAUUUGUAUGUCUAGAAACGUUUUAACGAUUCUGUUGUAGAGUGUCAUUGGAGACAGUGGAAAUUGUAAAUGACGCAUGUAUGUAUAACUUAGCAACUGUUAUACCAUUUGCACUCAGUGCCAUUAAGGACUUCCAGUGAGCUCCAUAAAGUCGAGUCCAGAAAGUGAAGCCAUCUUCAUGUUAACCGCGCAGUCAAAAACAAUAGAAAGGGACUGGAACUGACGUCAAUAGCUCCUUCAAUUUCCGCCAUCUUAGCAAGGAGUAUGCUGAAAUUUCGUAUUUUGACAUCGAUUUAAUUAAAGAAUAACACUAUGGUUUUAUGAACUAAUAACUUGGUUAGCGAUACGGUCUGUUAGAAAAAACUGGAAUUAGCUGAGACGACCUUCAUAGUCAUAGGCCGAAUGACUGAUCUUGAAAAAUAUGCCUGGCUAAGGUGGAAAUCGAACCUACGACCUUUGGAAUACUAGCCCAAUGCUCUGCCAACUGAGCUACGCGGCCACGCCGGUCAGGACAGUUCGAGUAUGUGAUAUUUUGGAACUGAGUCUAGUUCCUUCGACAUCAAAGUAAUCUAAUAAUCAUGAUUUUUGUGUUCAUGGUGUUGUGUACUUAGGUGAGUACCGCGUAGCUCAGUUGGCAGAGCAUUGGGCUAGUAUUCCAAAGGCCGUAGGUUCGAUUCCCACCGUGGCCAGGCAUAUUUUCCAAGCUUGCCCGGUGUGGAUGCACACUCAGAGUAACGUCACAAACAUGAUUCACCUGAGUGCACAACACCAACACAAAAAAAUGACAAUAAAGUCAUUAAAAAUUUGCAAAGCAUGACCUGUUCCUAUGGCUAACUUCGCUACUGGAAACUAGCUGUUACUAUAGUGAACACGUUUCUGGAUUCAGAAAAUGCUACAAUAUUGUGUUAGACUAGAGAACAACAGAAAGCAAACAUUUUCGGGUGGGAUACCAUGCAUGUAAAGAAACCUGCCCACAUAAUUGUCUCGAUCCUUCAGCAUUUCGUCAUUUCCACUCAGUUCAUGUCAACUGGCCCCUGUUGUGGUUUUGACUUUGACUAUUUAAUAUAUAUGUUUCCUCCACUAUAUAUAUAUAUUAAAUUCGAUUUAACAAAAGAAACAUUUUCAUUCUGCUAAUAACUGUCCGUCAAUUCGUUUAUUAGGGCUAACUGCUUGCCUGACGCAAUGUCGGUUGCUUGAUGUGGUAGACAAACAUAGGAUUGAACCUCAUUUACUAUGCAAGAUUUCGGAUGACAUCGAAAGG
Non-coding RNA from Paramuricea clavata, 2484 nucleotides. NCBI's taxonomy places the organism in Eukaryota, Metazoa, Cnidaria, Anthozoa, Malacalcyonacea, Plexauridae. The record is from the annotation of a GenBank genome assembly.